AGAGUCGUCCAAACGAUCGCUGGAUCAAUUCAUGAUCCGGAGGAAAGUCCGAACACCGCAGGGCAGGGUGCUCCAUAACGUGGAGUCACGGCGACGUGAAGGAAAGUGCAACAGAAAGUAUACCGCCUUGGAGUGUCUUCCCUGAAAAGGGGAGAUAUCUUCAGGGUAAGGGUGAAACGGUGCGGUAAGAGCGCACCAGUUCUUCGGGUGACCGGAGAAGCUAUGUAAACCCCACCCGGUGCAAGACCGAAUAGAGGAGCGUUUGAGGGCGGCCCGUUCGAGCUCCAGGGUAGGUCGCAAGAGGUGCCGGGCAACCGGCAUCCACAGAUGAAUGAUCGUUACCCGGUUCGGGGUAACUCGACCCGGGGACAGAAUUCGGCUUAUGGACGGCUCUGACC
Molecule: RNase P RNA, 398 nt
Filed under: Deltaproteobacteria bacterium
Lineage: Bacteria; Pseudomonadati; Myxococcota; Myxococcia
Description: RNase P RNA component class A
Rfam family: Bacterial RNase P class A
About the family: Ribonuclease P (RNase P) is a ubiquitous endoribonuclease, found in archaea, bacteria and eukarya as well as chloroplasts and mitochondria.
Source: RNAcentral